Drosophila navojoa is the source of this 224-nucleotide long non-coding RNA. The record is from RefSeq and is a predicted model, not a curated record. Lineage: Eukaryota; Metazoa; Arthropoda; Insecta; Diptera; Drosophilidae.
AGAGAGAACGUGAGAAAGACAGAGAGAGAGAGAGAGAGAGAGAAAGAGCAUCUGCCGGAUGGCAACGGAAAGUUUAAGGAAACGCAGCCCAGAUACGUAUACAAGCGGUUUGGCACAUAAGAUACAGAUACCCAACGGGAGGACAGUCACAUAUGCUUAUAUAAAACAUGGGCUCGCCGAGCAGCUACAAAAUAUGCGAGAGACGAUGCAAAAAAAAAAAAAAA